RNAcentral lists this ribosomal RNA (493 nucleotides) under uncultured bacterium. RNAcentral describes it as "partial 16S ribosomal RNA". It matches the Rfam family "Bacterial small subunit ribosomal RNA", at positions 29 to 508 of the family's 1533-position model. The record is from RNAcentral.
AGUGAACGCUGGCGGUAGGCCUAACACAUGCAAGUCGAACGGCAGCACAGUAAGAGCUUGCUCUUACGGGUGGCGAGUGGCGGACGGGUGAGGAAUACAUCGGAAUCUACUUUUUCGUGGGGGAUAACGUAGGGAAACUUACGCUAAUACCGCAUACGACCUACGGGUGAAAGCAGGGGACCUUCGGACCUUGCGCGAUUGAAUGAGCCGAUGUCGGAUUAGCUAGUUGGCGGGGUAAAGGCCCACCAAGGCGACGAUCCGUAGCUGGUCUGAGAGGAUGAUCAGCCAAACUGGAACUUAGACAAGGUCCAGACUCCUACGGGAGGGAGCAGUGGGGAAUAUUGGACAAUGGGCGCAAGCCUGAUCCAGCCAUACCGCGUGGGUGAAGAAGGCCUUCGGGUUGUAAAGCCCUUUUGUUGGGAAAGAAAAGCAGCAGGUUAAUACCCCGCUGUUCUGACGGUACCCAAAGAAUAAGCACCGGCUAACUUCGUGC